RNAcentral lists this ribosomal RNA (305 nucleotides) under uncultured bacterium. RNAcentral describes it as "bacterial SSU rRNA". It matches the Rfam family "Bacterial small subunit ribosomal RNA", at positions 333 to 636 of the family's 1533-position model. The record is from RNAcentral.
GAUCACCUACGGGACGCAGCAGUGAGGAAUAUUGGUCAAUGGGCGGGAGCCUGAACCAGCCAAGCCGCGUGAAGGAAGAAGGCGCCAAGCGUCGUAAACUUCUUUUGUCGGGGAACAAAGGGCGCCACGUGUGGCGUUGUGAGUGUACCCGAAGAAAAAGCAUCGGCUAACUCCGUGCCAGCAGCCGCGGUAAUACGGAGGAUGCGAGCGUUAUCCGGAAUGAUUGGGCGUAAAGGGUGCGUAGGCGGCCUGCUAAGUCUGGAGUGAAAGGUACCGGCUCAACCGGUACAGGCUCUGGAAACUGG